RNAcentral lists this ribosomal RNA (467 nucleotides) under uncultured bacterium. RNAcentral's name for it is "partial 16S ribosomal RNA". It matches the Rfam family "Bacterial small subunit ribosomal RNA", at positions 29 to 507 of the family's 1533-position model. The record is from RNAcentral.
ACGCACGCUGGCGGCGUGCUUCACCCCUGCCAGUCGCACGGAAAGGCCCUGCUUUUGUGGGGUGCUCGAGUGGCGAACGGGUGAGUAACACGUGAGUAACCUGCCCUUGACUUUGGGAUAACUUCAGGAAACUGGGGCUAAUACCGGAUAGGAGCUCCUGCUGCAUGGUGGGGGUUGGAAAGUUUCGGCGGUUGGGGAUGGACUCGCGGCUUAUCAGCUUGUUGGUGGGGUAGUGGCUUACCAAGGCUUUGACGGGUAGCCGGCCUGAGAGGGUGACCGGCCACAUUGGGACUGAGAUACGGCCCAGACUCCUACGGGAGGCAGCAGUGGGGAAUAUUGCACAAUGGGCGGAAGCCUGAUGCAGCAACGCCGCGUGCGGGAUGACGGCCUUCGGGUUGUAAACCGCUUUCGCCUGUGACGAAGCGUGAGUGACGGUAAUGGGUAAAGAAGCACCGGCUAACUACGUG